UUUGAUCAUGGCUCAGAGCGAACGCUGGCGGCAUGCUUAACACAUGCAGGUCGCACGGUCAGCAAUGGCAGUGGCGGACGGGUGAGUAACGCGUAGGUAUCUAUCCACGGGUGGGGGACAACGUCGGGAAACUGACGCUAAUACCGCAUGAUACCCGAGGGUCAAAGGCGCAAGUCGCCUGUGGAGGAGCCUGCGUACGAUUAGCUUGUUGGUGGGGUAAAGGCCUACCAAGGCGACGAUCGUUAGCUGGUCUGAGAGGAUGAUCAGCCACAUUGGGACUGAGACACGGCCCAGACUCCUACGGGAGGCAGCAGUGGGGAAUAUUGGACAAUGGGCGAAAGCCUGAUCCAGCAAUGCCGCGUGUGUGAAGAAGGUCUUCGGAUUGUAAAGCACUUUCGGCGGGGACGAUGAUGACGGUACCCGCAGAAGAAGCCCCGGCUAACUUCGUGCCAGCAGCCGCGGUAAUACG
This 469-nucleotide ribosomal RNA is filed under the name uncultured eubacterium WR880. Its description in RNAcentral is "bacterial SSU rRNA". It matches the Rfam family "Bacterial small subunit ribosomal RNA", at positions 12 to 527 of the family's 1533-position model. The record is from RNAcentral.